This 518-nucleotide small RNA is filed under the name Pan troglodytes (chimpanzee). RNAcentral describes it as "retained intron". Lineage: Eukaryota; Metazoa; Chordata; Mammalia; Primates; Hominidae. The record is from RNAcentral.
CAGAUUUCAGAAAGGGCUCUUUUGCUUUUUCCUGGCUUCUAAAAGUGGCCUUGACUGGCUUUGUCUUUCUCUCAGGAGUUGGGCUGUUCCUACACAGAUGUUGCUGCUCAGGAUGGUGAAGCCAUGCUCCGGGAAAUCUUGGCCUCUCAGCAGCCUGACCGAUGCAAACGAGCCCAGGCCUUCAUCAGCACACAGGGCCUUAAGCCAGAUACUGUGGCUGAACUCGUGGCAGAAGAGGUGACACGGGAGCUGCUUACUUCAUCACAGGGAACAGGACAUAAGCAGAUGUUCAACCCAACAGAGGAAAGCCAGACAUUUCUUCAGCUGACCACUCUGUGUCAAGACCGCACAUUGGUAGGCAUGAAGUUGUUGGAUAAGAUUUCCUCCGUUCCCCAUGGGGAACUGUCUUGCACCACAGAGCUCCUGAUCCUGGCCCAUCAUUGCUUCACCCUGACGUGCCACAUGGAGGGCAUCAUCCGAGUCCUACAGGCCGCCCAGAUGCUCACAGAUAACCACCU